UUAAAUUGAAGAGUUUGAUCAUGGCUCAGAUUGAACGCUGGCGGCAGGCCUAACACAUGCAAGUCGAACGGUAGCACAGAGAGCUUGCUCUCGGGUGACGAGUGGCGGACGGGU
RNAcentral lists this ribosomal RNA (114 nucleotides) under Klebsiella oxytoca. Its description in RNAcentral is "partial 16S ribosomal RNA". It matches the Rfam family "Bacterial small subunit ribosomal RNA", at positions 1 to 107 of the family's 1533-position model. RNAcentral also lists the same sequence under 4 other names. Lineage: Bacteria; Pseudomonadati; Pseudomonadota; Gammaproteobacteria; Enterobacterales; Enterobacteriaceae. The record is from RNAcentral.